Molecule: long non-coding RNA, 1306 nt
Filed under: Anser brachyrhynchus (Pink-footed goose)
Lineage: Eukaryota; Metazoa; Chordata; Aves; Anseriformes; Anatidae
Description: lncRNA (ENSABRG00000008644.1)
Source: RNAcentral
AUGAAAUCUCCUGCUGUGUCCUCCAGCCGCUCCUCACAGCUCGGUGGUUUCUGCAGGGCCUGUCUGGAUGCGAUCGGUCUGUCCUGCACAACUGCCCGUCUCGGUGACUCGUGGGCAGAGUGUACCCACUCCUUCUUCAGCCAACUUUUCCAUGUUCAUGGCUGUGCCGGUGCCAGGAACUCCCUGAGGCAACACGAUGUGAGGGUCUCCUGUGGAGAAUUUCAGCCCUGUGAUCACCCGCAGAUAGCCAUCAGGCAUUGCUGUGAGGCACCUGUUCCAGCCAGAUUUGGAAGAUCUCAUCCGUGAGGACUGUAAAUGGACUUACCUUUUUAAAGAACACCCAAGACUGUGUGCCGUCAAGGCAUGGCAUCUCCAAAACUGACACAAAGCAGGUAGGUAAGGCCACCUAAGCCAGCCAAACAUGCUAUAAAAGCAAGUUAUAAAAAUAACAAAAUAUUAAGCCACAUGAUUUCUUCAAAUUUUAGCAAGUUUUAUGUGUGUGUAUGGUUGGCACUGCUCUGUUAUUCCUGCCAAGCACUCAAUUAGCACUUGAGUUAAUAAGAUGUUUUAAUAGCUGUUAAAUUAAUCAACAACUCUGACACUGCUUCCCAGUGUUUUCCACGGGAAAGACAUUCUUUCAGCCCAGUUUCUAUGUUAUCAGUGUCACUAAUUAUUUGUGUUUAUUCUCUUUACUACACUUAUUUGACUUCAUUUGAAAUUAGAUGCAGUGAUAGGGGAUGUGUUUUCUUAUUUUUCUGUAAUGUGCUGAAUAGAUGAGGAUUAGAGCUCCCAGCUAUGAGAAAAUGAGUACUCAUAAGCAUUUGUUCAAACAGAAAUCACAGAGCCUUUUUGACAACUGUCAUAAUCCCUUUGAUUUGCUCUUCGUCAGUGCUUUUGUGAGUUUGUUCACAGAAAUGUUUGCCAAAAUGAAAGUACUGCUAAUAGAGGUGAAAACAUGUAACAGCUCCGGAAUACUUGUGAAAAUGUUUGGGCUGACCUGUGCCGCAGCUAUUUUUUUUCUGGUGGUCUGACAGCAAUCCAGGCAGGAAAAAAACAAUAGUUUGGGGUUGAGCUCAUCAGUCCCUCAAAACAGCAAGUGUACUAAGAAUAGAAGGAAAACACCAAGUAGAAGAAAUUUACAAAUAACUGAAGUAUGUCCCCCAAACCAUGGAUUUAGAAUUGUUUCAUCUGGGAAAUGUUAAAGAACAAAAGCAAGCACAUGACCUGUGGGCAGUUCGCGGCUCUGCACCAGCCGGGUGAGGGGGACGGAAUCCCAUCGAGGCUGGGAGCGGGGUCGGUGCGCGAG